This 3366-nucleotide unclassified non-coding RNA is filed under the name Portunus trituberculatus (swimming crab). RNAcentral describes it as "uncharacterized LOC123504201, transcript variant X1". Lineage: Eukaryota; Metazoa; Arthropoda; Malacostraca; Decapoda; Portunidae. The record is from RNAcentral.
UGGUGGUGGUGUGGUGGUAGUAGUGGUUGUGGUGGUACUGUAGUAGUAGUAGUAGUAGUAGUAGUAGUAGUAGUAUGUUAGGCGCACUGAUUCAGUAGAGAUGGAUAUAUUUGUACUUGUGCAUUGUGACGUAUCCUGUACUUUGUGAGCACCAUCCACACGCAUUGCCUCUCGUCAUACAGGCCUGAUACCCGUCCUGCUGUACUUGCGACGCGUCUGUUUGAGUUGACAUGUAGUGCAUCAUGUAAUAUACUCUGUAACCUUGAUAGGUGCUACAACUAUUAACAUAUAUUUUGAAGCCACUUUGAGAUAAUACACUUGAGUAAUUAACACACCUUACUAAGCACAAGAUUUGAAUGUGUAAGUAAUUUCCGUGUUACUCCUUGCAAACUCCACCACCACAACUCACGGACCACAGUGCCCGCUAGACUCAGCACCUCAGCUUCCUUGGGUGGCGUGAUUGACUCCAGUGAUAUUCGUUAUGACCAAACUGGUGAAAGACUUUCCGGCAGUGUCAGAACAUUAAGUGACCCGCCUUAAUUCACCUUGUAUAUAUAAAUUGUAUAAACUUAUAAUCUGAUACACUUAAACCACAACACCUCUGGAGUGCACCUACCCACAAACUAAACACUAAUACCAAUUAUUUACCGCUCGACUACUAACGCUGCUGUGCUGAAGUUCCACCUGUGGCACUCAUUACCUGCCAGAUUACCUGCUGUCUUCAGUUCACCCUGCCAGUGAGUCGCCGACCCUGUCAUCGCCUGGUGACUCAACAGGUGUGUGCUAUCUGUGUCGGUGAGGAACACAACUGAUGCAGGUGACAUAACGGUUUGCAGCUUGGGAUAAACCUAUGUGCAAAACUGUGUCUAAAACCUCCAUAAACUAAGUGAAAAACUUGAGUGAGUGAUAAACACUAAACAUUGUGGAACGAGGUGAGUGAACGAAAGCCAUAGAGAAAGUAAGGAGUGGAGUGGCAGUCGGACCCUGUGAGCUGCACCGUUCCGCUGUCCUUAGCAAAACGUGAAUCAAAACAGCGGCCGUGUUUACAGCUCCGCGCGCCCACUCAUACCGAUCUUGCCUGGCGAGAUUGACCCUUAAAACUCUCUCUACUUAAGUGCUCUUUACCUCCACCCCACCACAUGAGGCAGUCCAGCAUCACACACACACACACACAGACCGUGAUAACCGUCACCGCCAACAGCCCAACCCACACUCAUGCAACCAAAACUCAUCUUCUUGUAUCGAGCAACCAACAACGCCGUGGAGUCUGACGUCCCUGCCUAUACACGACGUGAGGACGAUGGAACGCUGUACAAGUCACCGUGUUGACUUUCGAAGCGAGCGCCGCGGCCCUCCCUCCCAGCGCCAUAGUGCCCCGCCCAGCCUCGCCCCGCCCCACGGAGCACUGCAGCCUUCCUCACCAGCACCUAGCCUGCCCCGCACUCAUACGCUACGUUUAUACGUGAAUAUUAAAUAUGGGGGAGGUGGUGCCAGUAUAGAACGCAGCUCCUGUACUUCGAGAAGAUCGUGUACCGCCCCUACUGCGCAUGCGCCAACCACGGAAAAGAUACAGUACGCAGCCGUCAGCCAGUAAGCCUCUGGUCACCAUCCUGAACACUUGGGCAGGGCGCGUGGAUAUGUUGCCUUCAGGGUGUCUGUCGCUCGCUCUCAGUUAUCAUUCGUCUUCUCAGAUGAUGUGGCCGUUCUUUUGAUAGAGAAACGGAAACUAAAAUGAAAGCAUAUUCCCAUGCCCUUUCUCUCUCUCUCUCUCUCUCUCUCUCUCUCUCUCUCUCUCUCUCUCUCUCUCUCUCUCUCUUGCGUAAUUUCAUUAUUGGCAUGACACAGUAUUGUAAGGAAAUCUUCCAAGUUUAUUCAGAAAGUAGAAUAGGUAUUGUAAAAACUGAAGUAAUGGCACUUCACUCAUGCAUUUGUGUGUGUGUGUGUGUGUGUGUGUGUGUGUGUGUGUGUGUGUGUGUUAUGGUAUAUAUGCAUAUUUCCAACAUACUUUUCCUGAAUAUCAAUUAAUUAACAUUUGUUUAUACUUAAUAAAAUAUUUUUUCCAUAAUUAAGAUGAUGCUGAUAAUUUCACUAUACAGAAUUUCACAUUGAUAGAUGGUGGACCUAUAUAUAGUCCUUUUCUAAAUAUACAUAACCUGGUAGACAGCAGUUUGUUUUAACCCCUUCACUACUGGAACGCAUUUUUACCAGAGUUUUGGGUAUGAUUAGACAAUUUUAUUUACAUUAUGAACUAUCUAUGGAGGUGAGAAGGUUAAUGGCCAGAGUCUUCACUAUUUUAAUCCUCACAUAAGUUUGAGAGGCUGUAUGACAUCACUAAAUAGUAACCAAAACCAAUAUGGAAACGCGUUCUGGUACUGAAGGGGUUAAAUCAUUUUUCCUUCUAGGUAACCCUUAAUUGCAGCAGGAGCCCUUUCAGGCACUAUACCGCUCCAGGCCAGAGUGGACCUGGACUACUAUCAUUAUAUCAUUGGUAGUAAGAAUCUUAGUAGUUACUUUGAAUUUUAUUGACUAGUUAUCGUCUCACUCUAGGUAUCUCAGAAUGACUUUUCAAAGUUUUGUGCUUUAUCAUCUGCUUCCUUCCAUAGGUCCAAUGCACCCCAUCUGAGCUCAACAGCUCCUCAUAUACUGGCAUGUUGAACUGAAUGAAACUGUUCUUUCUUUGAUUUACGAUUGACGCGCCUUUGAAUAUGACGAUACCGAUCACUAGACACAGGGUAAUCAUAGGGGUAGUAUCGUGGCUCCACCAGAACUAUGAUUACAUCGGCUCCACAGUUUUCAACUCUGGAGUCCCUGAUGGACACUAUAUUGUCAACUAUCUCCUGCACUUCAGAAUCUUCAUCGGUGUCAUUGGAGCCUAUCCAUAAAAUACAUAGGUCAUGUUCCCAGUUUAACACGUCCGACACGCGAUGAUGAUUCCAAAAAUGAUAAUCUUUACCUUCAGGAGCUCCAAAUAUUCAUAUUUCCUCUCCACUUACUUGCAACAUUUUUGGGAGUUGUCUGUGACUAACAAGUGAUACGGACAUGUUUUUUUUUCUAAUGUAGACCGGUGUAUCUGAAGUCAGAACACUCCAAUAACCAUACUGAUCAUGUUAGAGCAUAAACAGUAUUCGAUGUAAAAGUUAUCACUAAGUACCUGCCUACAAGAUGAAACAGAUGGAUACUGGAUCAUUUGCUGUGGGGCGCCUGGCCUUUGGUUGUCUAAUGGCUCGCUUGCAACGGUGGCUGUUGGCAGCUGCUUAUUGAUGACGAUCUGUAAAUGGUUGUAUUAUUAAUUAGAGUUAAUGAUUUGUCAUUUGUCCUCUCACUUGUUCCCAACAACUGUUCUGUACAAUAAAGUGAAUCACCUCA